Molecule: ribosomal RNA, 393 nt
Filed under: uncultured bacterium
Lineage: Bacteria
Description: partial 16S ribosomal RNA
Rfam family: Bacterial small subunit ribosomal RNA
Source: RNAcentral
AUACGGAGGAUGCAAGCGUUAUCCGGAUUUAUUGGGUUUAAAGGGUGCGUAGGCGGGACUGUAAGUCAGGGGUGAAAUACUGCAGCUUAACUGUAGCAUUGCCUUUGAAACUGCCGUUCUUGAGUACAGUUGAGGUAGGCGGAAUGUGGUGUGUAGCGGUGAAAUGCGUAGAUAUACCACAGAACGCCGAUUGCGAAGGCAGCUUACUAAGCUGUUACUGACGCUGAGGCACGAAAGCGUGGGGAUCAAACAGGAUUAGAUACCCUGGUAGUCCACGCUGUAAACGAUGAUUACUGGUUGUUAGCGAUAUAUAGCUAGUGACUGAGCGAAAGCAUUAAGUAAUCCACCUGGGGAGUACGUCGGCAACGAUGAAACUCAAAUGAAUUGGCGGGG